CUACGGGCUGCUCCAGUGAGGAAUAUUGGUCAAUGGGCGAAAGCCUGAACCAGCCAUGCCGCGUGAAGGAUGACGGCCCUAUGGGUUGUAAACUUCUUUUAUACGGGAAGAAACACCUCUACGUGUAGAGGUUUGACGGUACCGUACGAAUAAGCAUCGGCUAACUCCGUGCCAGCAGCCGCGGUAAUACGGAGGAUGCAAGCGUUAUCCGGAUUUAUUGGGUUUAAAGGGUACGUAGGCGGAAACUUAAGUCAGUAGUGAAAUCCCGCAGCUUAACUGUGGAACUGUUAUUGAUACUGGGUUUCUUGAAUAUUGUUGAGGUAGGCGGAAUAAGUAAUGUAGCGGUGAAAUGCUUAGAUAUUACUUAGAACACCGAUUGCGAAGGCAGCUUACUAAGCAAUUAUUGACGCUGAGGUACGAAAGCGUGGGGAGUGAACAGGAUUAGAUACCCCGGUAGUC
RNAcentral lists this ribosomal RNA (459 nucleotides) under uncultured bacterium. RNAcentral's name for it is "partial 16S ribosomal RNA". It matches the Rfam family "Bacterial small subunit ribosomal RNA", at positions 339 to 795 of the family's 1533-position model. The record is from RNAcentral.